GUGUAGCUUAGAGCUAGAGUGCUUGCCUAGUAUGUAUGAAGCCCUGGGUUCAAUACCCAGCAC
This 63-nucleotide transfer RNA is filed under the name Heterocephalus glaber (naked mole-rat). It matches the Rfam family "tRNA", at positions 5 to 66 of the family's 71-position model. Rfam says of the family: Transfer RNA (tRNA) molecules are approximately 80 nucleotides in length. Their secondary structure includes four short double-helical elements and three loops (D, anti-codon, and T loops). Lineage: Eukaryota; Metazoa; Chordata; Mammalia; Rodentia; Bathyergidae. The record is from Rfam by way of RNAcentral.